This 370-nucleotide long non-coding RNA is filed under the name Taeniopygia guttata (zebra finch). Its description in RNAcentral is "lncRNA (ENSTGUG00000026858.1)". Lineage: Eukaryota; Metazoa; Chordata; Aves; Passeriformes; Estrildidae. The record is from RNAcentral.
ACUGCUGGCAGCGGGGGGACACCGAGGGGACAAUGGGGACAUUGGGGACAGCGGGGCCCCUGCUCGUCCUCGUCCUGCUGGGGGCGCCCGGCCUGGCCGCAGCCUCAUCCUCACCGGCCUCUACAUCCGCCUCAGGUUUGUGAAUUGGCGACUGCAGAGAGCGGCUGGGCAGAAGGAGGAAGAGGCCGUUUAUGCCGGUCUCAGCCCCGACCACCAGGAGACCUACGAGACCCUGCAGAUGAAGAGCUCCUGACCCCCGCGGGGAAAAUCGGGAAUUUUUACCCCUGGAAAUGGAAAAAUCGGUGUUUUUUACCCCUGGAAAUGGAAAAAUCGGAUUUUUUUACCCCGGAAAUAGAAAAUUUGGGAUUUU